UCAGCUCUCUUUGCCAUUUAGGCUUAGAUUAAGUGUAGUAACUGUUCUGCUAUUGGGUGACUCCAAUGGCGCGCUCUACGGAGUCGCAUUGGUCUCACAAGUUUUUGGAAAUGGUCUGGUGCUCCCUGAGCUUCGCUCAUAGUGCUGGCACAGUGUCGCCAGUAUUGCACUGCCUCUGGCUGACGCAACCACUU
This is a small nuclear RNA of Neofusicoccum parvum, 194 nucleotides long. It matches the Rfam family "U2 spliceosomal RNA". Rfam says of the family: U2 is a small nuclear RNA (snRNA) component of the spliceosome (involved in pre-mRNA splicing). The record is from Rfam. Lineage: Eukaryota; Fungi; Ascomycota; Dothideomycetes; Botryosphaeriales; Botryosphaeriaceae.